CAAGUUUAAGCUUCAGAUUUGUUUCUGUUCUCGUCCAGGAGGGAGGGCAACCACCGGUCCUCGCACCCUCAGCUGUUUGUUUUCUCCUCACUUUCUCAGCCUGGGAGUUCUUUUGCUUUCCUCUCCUCGGUUGCCAGAUGGUUCCUUUCAGAUCGGAACCGGGGAGGCCGACAUCAGCGCGGGUUCGACGAGACGAGCCGUGGUGGUUGAGGAGCCAGCAUGGCGUCGGGCCACACGGUCAUGCACCUGCAGAGGAAGCUGAAGGACCUGCAGCGGCAGCGCUGUAGGAGGGGGGGCAGUCAGGAGUCCCGAGUGCUGGGGAUGGUGGCACCCACCAUGAGGACCCCAGCCCUGGGUUCCCCGUUCAUCGCGUCCGAUGGGACCCUUCACUCCCACAGAGGUCUGCAGCCUCACUCCCCCUUGGCACGAGUAGCAGGGAGGGACCUGGACGACUACCGGCCCGUCCCGCCGGCCACGGCCUCCGACGAUCCCAAAGGUGGGAACACACACACACACACACACACACACACACACACACACACACACACACACACACACACACACACACACGCACGCACAGAGCUGCCAUUGCAAAGUAUAUGCUUACAGGUGAAACCCAUGGGAACAUCUUUGGUUAGAUCACGGUGUCACUGCGAAUCGGCACUGGCAGUUUGUACCGCGUUCUUCAUACCGUGGAUUGCGCAACCGGAGCCCGAGGGAGCGGCAGUCAGGCUCUCAGUCUGGUCGCCAGUUUUGCAAGCAGAAGUUGCCCGCUUCCUGCAGCAGCUAUGAUGGGCUCUUUUUCUCCCGAUGGCUGUCUAGAUCCAACCGCCGGCACUCGGGAGCUCCCUUCCCCGGCCGCAGAGCUCUUACACCCCGGCAGCGCCCCUCUAAAGCCCCCACCGGAGAUCCCCCAGCCGAGGAGGGCCGUCCCCGCGGCGACCGUCCCGCUGUCUGCUCUGACCUGCGACCCCUGGAGGGCGGACGCCUCUCAGGCUUUUCCGGUAAUGCCUGCCAUAGGCUUCAUCCCUCCCGCCAGGCCUCCGGGGGACGGGCCCUUCUUCCAGAGGGAGAGUGCGAACGCAGCCGAGUUCCCCCCAAACAGCAGAGAGGUCCUGUGGCCGUUACCCAACUACCCCGCCAUAUUUCCCGACGCCCUCACCAUGCCUCCUUCAUACCAGUGUCCCACCUACGUGCCUCACCUUCCGCUCCACCCGUCCUGGUACAGGUUGGACAUCCCACCUUUUCUGUACAAGAAGGCCUCCGUCCACCCGUCUGAGCUGAGUGCGUUCCCUCCCCUUCACCUGUCCCACCCUCUGUCCAGGGACACCUUUGGGCUCAAACCGUCUGGGUUUGCGGUUGGCCCUCACAGCAGCUCCGCAGAAGGAAGAAUAGUCAAGGAAGGGGCGGCGAUCCAUAAGAGCAAGGAGAGCAAGCCUGUUUCCCAUUUGCCCCAGAAUGUGCUAAUGCACACGCCAGAACGUCUGCAGAGGAAGGAGGGGAAGGGGCAGAGAAUGGUGGUAACGGGCAGGACCCCCAGUCGAGAUGGGGGCAAGCCAGACAAGAACCGGAUGGUUGCCGUGGAAACGCUUCCUAUCGCCAACUCCUGUUUCAAUAGGCAUAGAAGGGGAUUUUCCAGUUCAGCUCCCUCAGGGCCAGAUGUUCAAGACUUGGGUCAAAAUCCGGAGUGUCAUUUGUGGCCGUGGGUGUCUUUGCAACACACGAAAAAAGCGGCCAGGUCUAAUGGGUUGCUGGUUCCAGGAAGACCUCAGCAUCUGACCAAAGAGGGUCAACUUUCCCAUGUUUUGCCUCCAGUCAAGACCAAGCUGAAGGAUGGUCUCAACAGGAGAGAUGGAGAGAAAGGUUUGGCACAAGUGGAUUCUGGGAGCUACCUGAGACAUCUACUAACAGAACCACGGGAUUCUCUGAAGGCCUUAGACCUCAGUCCAAAGAUCCAGCGAGGUAAAUAUAGGGAUGAGCACAAGGCCACACAGCCGUCCCCCAGCAGAGCUCGAGAUGAGAUCCACCAAAAGGGGGAGAGUGUCUCUUCACGUGGGCAACAAGAAGACUGUUCACCAGCGCCGGCAGAAAAUGAGCAGAAUGAUACACAAGGUCAAAGGUCAGCAAGAUCCAGCUCCAUGCCCAACCUGUUGUUAACUCACAGUCCGCACAGCGAACAUGAAAGACUGAAGGGUUUCGGUGGAAGAGGCAUCAGCACAAAAGAGGAGCUUCAGAAGAAAGAGGUUCACUUGAAAAGGGGAUCUCCUCGGGGUGGAGCAAAUCUGAACCUCAGAGUGCCUGGAAAUGGACACCUAGGCGCUGGGGGGCUGACCUGCACCAAAGGUGCCAAUGAAACAAAUCCAAGCAAAAGGGCACUUGAACCUCCUGCGACAAAAAGUGAAGAAUCAGCUCAGGAAUCUUCCCCAGCGAAGACCAGUAGACUGGGUCACUGUGAAGCCCCAGCAAACUCUUCUUCAUGUACAAUAAGUGGCAGCCAGGAAAGUUCAUGCUCAGCUCAUUGUGAGUGCUCAUCCUUGCAGGUGGGGGGUGAGAAGACCCAAGAGAAUGCGAAAAGAAGACUUUGUGGAAAUACCACGAGCCAGGGGGGGUCGGCAGAACGUUCCCCAGGCGGCUUCCCAAAUCAGUGCUGGGAGGAGCCCGUCCAAGAACAUGAUGGUUACCAGGACCACGCAGAUGGGACGCAUGGUGUUCACGGUCAGGUGGGAGGUUUCAGCAUUUUGGACCUGACCACAUCCAGCUUGUCCAGCGAUGAGGAGACAGAGGAGAAGCCUGGCUGGCAGGGGGUGGAAGGUGUACUGGAGAUGUACAAGUCCUACUUAGAAGAGACCACAUUUGAAGAGAAGAUACUUCAAGAGCAGCUCAGACUUUCGAAAGAGAAAAACAACGAGCUCAGUCGGGUGGCCAAAAAUCUGAAGGCGCAGAUCCAGGUGGGUUCGAGGAGAUCUUGUGCUUCCCUUGAAGGGAAUAAUGUGGUAACGCGGGGCCUCUGAAAGCAGAAGAUCUCUCUCGGUAAACCUGCACAGUAAAACAUCACUUCUAAAAACAUGUAUUUUAUAAAGACUCUUCUAAUAUGUUGGAGGGUGCAGUGGGUUAGACUGGGUCCUGCUCUCCGCUGGGUCUUGGGUUUGAGUCCCGCUUGGAGUGCCUUGCGACGGACUGGCAUCCCAUCCUGGGUGUGUCCCCUCCCCCUCCAGGCUUACACCCUGUGUUGCUGGGAUAGGGUCUGGCUCCCCACGACCCUGUAUGGGACAAGUGGUUACUGACUGUCUGUCAUCAUCUUAGAUGGAUUAUUGUUCCACAUUACUACUGUGUGUGAAUAAUAAUUUUUGAACAACCCUUCAACCGUGACGGCUACAUUUCCAGUUUCAGUCAACAAUGUUCCUUAGUAAAAAUAAGUUAUAAUAAAAGAAUAAGACUCAUAAAUGCUAUGCUAUCA
This 3457-nucleotide long non-coding RNA is filed under the name Scleropages formosus (Asian bonytongue). RNAcentral describes it as "lncRNA (ENSSFOG00015026459.1)". The record is from RNAcentral. Lineage: Eukaryota; Metazoa; Chordata; Actinopteri; Osteoglossiformes; Osteoglossidae.